RNAcentral lists this microRNA (22 nucleotides) under Pteropus alecto (black flying fox). RNAcentral's name for it is "pal-miR-665-3p". Its record names the gene pal-miR-665-3p. Lineage: Eukaryota; Metazoa; Chordata; Mammalia; Chiroptera; Pteropodidae. The record is from miRBase by way of RNAcentral.
ACCAGGAGGCUGAGGCCCUUCA